This 253-nucleotide ribosomal RNA is filed under the name uncultured bacterium. RNAcentral describes it as "partial 16S ribosomal RNA". It matches the Rfam family "Bacterial small subunit ribosomal RNA", at positions 524 to 776 of the family's 1533-position model. The record is from RNAcentral.
UACGUAGGGUGCAAGCGUUGUCCGGAAUUAUUGGGCGUAAAGAGCUCGUAGGCGGUCUGUCGCGUCGGCUGUGAAAACCCGAGGCUCAACCUCGGGCCUGCAGUCGAUACGGGCAAACUAGAGUACUGCAGGGGAGACUGGAAUUCCUGGUGUAGCGGUGAAAUGCGCAGAUAUCAGGAGGAACACCGGUGGCGAAGGCAGGUCUCUGGGCAGUAACUGACGCUGAGGAGCGAAAGCGUGGGGAGCGAACAGG